RNAcentral lists this ribosomal RNA (490 nucleotides) under uncultured bacterium. RNAcentral's name for it is "partial 16S ribosomal RNA". It matches the Rfam family "Bacterial small subunit ribosomal RNA", at positions 30 to 507 of the family's 1533-position model. The record is from RNAcentral.
AUUGAACGCUGGCGGCAGGCCUAACACAUGCAAGUCGAACGGUAACAGAAAGCAGCUUGCUGCUUUGCUGACGAGUGGCGGACGGGUGAGUAAUGUCUGGGAAACUGCCUGAUGGAGGGGGAUAACUACUGGAAACGGUAGCUAAUACCGCAUAACGUCGCAAGACCAAAGAGGGGGACCUUCGGGCCUCUUGCCAUCGGAUGUGCCCAGAUGGGAUUAGCUAGUAGGUGGGGUAACGGCUCACCUAGGCGACGAUCCCUAGCUGGUCUGAGAGGAUGACCAGCCACACUGGAACUGAGACACGGUCCAGACUCCUGCGGGACGCAGCAGUGGGGAAUAUUGCACAGUGGGGGCAAGCCUUAUGCAGCCAUGCCGCGUGUAUGAAGAAGGCCUUCGGGUUGUGAAGUACGUUCAGCGGGGAGGAAGGGAGUAAAGUUAAUACCUUUGCUCAUUGACGUUACCCGCAGAAGAAGCACCGGCUAACUCCGUG